Molecule: ribosomal RNA, 1530 nt
Filed under: Shigella boydii
Lineage: Bacteria; Pseudomonadati; Pseudomonadota; Gammaproteobacteria; Enterobacterales; Enterobacteriaceae
Description: bacterial SSU rRNA
Rfam family: Bacterial small subunit ribosomal RNA
Source: RNAcentral
AGAGUUUGAUCAUGGCUCAGAUUGAACGCUGGCGGCAGGCCUAACACAUGCAAGUCGAACGGUAACAGGAAGCAGCUUGCUGCUUCGCUGACGAGUGGCGGACGGGUGAGUAAUGUCUGGGAAACUGCCUGAUGGAGGGGGAUAACUACUGGAAACGGUAGCUAAUACCGCAUAAUGUCGCAAGACCAAAGAGGGGGACCUUCGGGCCUCUUGCCAUCGGAUGUGCCCAGAUGGGAUUAGCUUGUUGGUGGGGUAACGGCUCACCAAGGCGACGAUCCCUAGCUGGUCUGAGAGGAUGACCAGCCACACUGGAACUGAGACACGGUCCAGACUCCUACGGGAGGCAGCAGUGGGGAAUAUUGCACAAUGGGCGCAAGCCUGAUGCAGCCAUGUCGCGUGUAUGAAGAAGGCCUUCGGGUUGUAAAGUACUUUCAGCGGGGAGGAAGGGAGUAAAGUUAAUAUCUUUGCUCAUUGACGUUAUCCGCAGAAGAAGCACCGGCUAACUCCGUGCCAGCAGCCGCGGUAAUACGGAGGGUGCAAGCGUUAAUCGGAAUUACUGGGCGUAAAGCGCACGCAGGCGGUUUGUUAAGUCAGAUGUGAAAUCCCCGGGCUCAACCUGGGAACUGCAUCUGAUACUGGCAAGCUUGAGUCUCGUAGAGGGGGGUAGAAUUCCAGGUGUAGCGGUGAAAUGCGUAGAGAUCUGGAGGAAUACCGGUGGCGAAGGCGGCCCCCUGGACGAAGACUGACGCUCAGGUGCGAAAGCGUGGGGAGCAAACAGGAUUAGAUACCCUGGUAGUCCACGCCGUAAACGAUGUCGACUUGGAGGUUGUGCCCUUGAGGCGUGGCUUCCGGAGCUAACGCGUUAAGUCGACCGCCUGGGGAGUACGGCCGCAAGGUUAAAACUCAAAUGAAUUGACGGGGGCCCGCACAAGCGGUGGAGCAUGUGGUUUAAUUCGAUGCAACGCGAAGAACCUUACCUGGUCUUGACAUCCACGGAAGUUUUCAGAGAUGAGAAUGUGCCUUCGGGAACCGUGAGACAGGUGCUGCAUGGCUGUCGUCAGCUCGUGUUGUGAAAUGUUGGGUUAAGUCCCGCAACGAGCGCAACCCUUAUCCUUUGUUGCCAGCGGUCCGGCCGGGAACUCAAAGGAGACUGCCAGUGAUAAACUGGAGGAAGGUGGGGAUGACGUCAAGUCAUCAUGGCCCUUACGACCAGGGCUACACACGUGCUACAAUGGCGCAUACAAAGAGAAGCGACCUCGCGAGAGCAAGCGGACCUCAUAAAGUGCGUCGUAGUCCGGAUUGGAGUCUGCAACUCGACUCCAUGAAGUCGGAAUCGCUAGUAAUCGUGGAUCAGAAUGCCACGGUGAAUACGUUCCCGGGCCUUGUACACACCGCCCGUCACACCAUGGGAGUGGGUUGCAAAAGAAGUAGGUAGCUUAACCUUCGGGAGGGCGCUUACCACUUUGUGAUUCAUGACUGGGGUGAAGUCGUAACAAGGUAACCGUAGGGGAACCUGCGGUUGGAUCACCU